AACGAACGCUGGCGGCAUGGAUUAGGCAUGCAAGUCGAACGAGGUAGCAAUACCUAGUGGCGGAAGGGUGAGGAACGCGUGAGUAAUCCUGCCCCUAAGUUGGGAAUAACAGUUGGAAACGACUGCUAAUACCGAAUGUGGCUUGAAGAUCGCAUGAUCUUCUGGUUAAAGAUUUAUUGCUUAGGGAUGAGCUCGCGUCCCAUUAGUUAGUUGGUGAGGUAAUGGCUCACCAAGGCGAUGAUGGGUAGCUGGUCUGAGAGGAUGGUCAGCCACACUGGGACUGAGACACUGCCCAGACUCCUACGGGAGGCUGCAGUGAGGAAUA
RNAcentral lists this ribosomal RNA (325 nucleotides) under uncultured bacterium. Its description in RNAcentral is "bacterial SSU rRNA". It matches the Rfam family "Bacterial small subunit ribosomal RNA", at positions 29 to 363 of the family's 1533-position model. The record is from RNAcentral.